UACGUAGGGUGCGAGCGUUGUCCGGAUUUAUUGGGCGUAAAGGGCUCGUAGGCGGCCUGUCGCGUCGGGAGUGAAAGCCCACUGCUUAACGGUGGGUCUGCUUCCGGUACGGGCGGACUUGAGUACUGCAGGGGAGACUGGAAUUCCUGGUGUAGCGGUGAAAUGCGCAGAUAUCAGGAGGAACACCGGUGGCGAAGGCGGGUCUCUGGGCAGUAACUGACGCUGAGGAGCGAAAGCGUGGGGAGCGAACAGG
RNAcentral lists this ribosomal RNA (253 nucleotides) under uncultured bacterium. RNAcentral's name for it is "partial 16S ribosomal RNA". It matches the Rfam family "Bacterial small subunit ribosomal RNA", at positions 524 to 776 of the family's 1533-position model. The record is from RNAcentral.